Molecule: ribosomal RNA, 253 nt
Filed under: uncultured bacterium
Lineage: Bacteria
Description: partial 16S ribosomal RNA
Rfam family: Bacterial small subunit ribosomal RNA
Source: RNAcentral
UACGAAGGGGGCGAGCGUUGUUCGGAAUUACUGGGCGUAAAGGGCGCGCAGGCGGCUCUGUAAGUCAGAUGUGAAAGCCCCGGGCUUAACCUGGGAAUUGCAUUUGAUACUCUGGAGCUUGAGUACGGGAGAGGAUAGUGGAAUUCCCAGUGUAGAGGUGAAAUUCGUAGAUAUUGGGAAGAACACCGGUGGCGAAGGCGGCUAUCUGGACCGUAACUGACGCUGAGGAGCGAAAGCGUGGGGAGCGAACAGG